This is a long non-coding RNA of Manacus vitellinus (golden-collared manakin), 1636 nucleotides long. RefSeq lists it as uncharacterized. The transcript is spliced from 2 exons. The record is from RefSeq and is a predicted model, not a curated record. Lineage: Eukaryota; Metazoa; Chordata; Aves; Passeriformes; Pipridae.
UCCUUUCCAGUAACUGCCAUGGUAUGAAGCUGGUAUGAAGUUUGUUAUAAAACACAACAGAAGUGGUUCACAACAAGCAGUGCAGGAGGGCAGGUGGGCACAUGGGGAGAACGUGAAACAGAGGUUCUAGGAGCCCUGCUGGACCUCAUGUCACUGUUCCUUCAUAAAAGAGCCUUCAUGGAAGCAGUAAUGAUCUCCACUCCAGUGUCAAUGUCUUCUUGGACCUCACAUGGUCAUCUUCUGGAGCUAAAUCAGAAAUGUUAACUGAAAUCUCUAAAUCCAUGUUAGACUCCAAUUGCUAUUUAGUUUUAAAGAACUGUGAUUAGUAACAGCUUACUUUUUUUAACUCACCUGUUACUUCUCUGAAUAAUAUCAAUGUCCUAUUAGCUUUUAAGUAUAGCUAACUGAAUGAAUUUAAGCAAUUAAAAAAGUGAUUUAAAAAAAAUCUUUCCUUUCACAUUAAGAGAAAAAAGCUAAAGACAGCUAUUUUUCAGCUUGAAAAAUAUUGUCUUUUACAUUUCCUGAGGAGAGCUCUGUCAAAUGAAGAUACUUCGGUUUUUUUACACGCAGAGCUCAUUAAAGGCUUUUGUUUACCUUGAUGUUUCCUUGAAGACAGUGCUCUAUAUCCUUGCCAGAGGGAUCAUCAGAAAACAGUGCAAAUCCUGACUGAGCUGGUUUCCUCAUCCCUGUAUCUUGGUUCAGGGUGUUCAGAAAUUCCUCCACUGUGGUAGAGGCAUCAAACCCAACAACCUAAAAAAGUAGCCAAAAAGGAUUUUGCUAUCAAGCUUAUAUACCCCCCUUUCCAUAAAUUGAAAAUUUUGAAAUAUAAUACCUCUACAAUAACAUUGGGAUUGUAGGACCCAUUCUAUGCUCUGUGAAUAAGUUACUGAAACUUGUUGAAAAUUAAAAAUUUCCAGAAAGGAUCUGGAAAAGAUUUCCACAUAGCAAGUCAAUUUAGUGGAAUUUUACUCUAUCCAAAAAUUAUUAACUUCUCAGCAGAUUGUACCUUAUCUUACUUUGUUUACCAAAUCAAAUUCACUACCAAAAUGCUUCCAAAAGUAAUAUUUUUGGGUUUAUUUUCUUUGUUUAUAGUGGUUUCUUUGCACUUGUAGACUUGAAUUUCUGUUACAAAAUGUAUAUAACAGGUAUCAGUCUAGUAUCUGCGCUUUUUGUGACAAAUACCACUUGAAAAAUUAAGAAGACUACGAUUUCUUCCACUUUUCAAUACAGUGAUGAAACAAAUGAGAUCAGUUAGUAAUUUUUCAUCAUGUGCAACUUCAGAGGGAUAUUAGAUGGCAGAUCUAUUCUGGCAAAUUCAAAAUAUUUUACAAAUGUUGCUUUGUCAGCAGUACAUAGGUCAGUAAUAUACAGAGCCUUCUAAGUUUUACUUCCCCAAAUAUGAAUUUUUGUCCGUUGUUACUAGUAUUGAAGCAUUUUAGCAAGAGAUUGCAAAUGGCUUUUAUACAGAUACCAGUUGCUGAUGUUCACUUAAAUCUGUAUUGAGGGUGUUUUCCUGUAUUUGACUUGGUGAAAAAAUUUUACUCUUGGUAAAAAAUGUCUUGAAAAUCAAUCUUGGACUUCUGUUUUGUACUUCUCAGUGGCUAGCAUUAAAAUAAAAAUCUGCUGCAGAGAUGAA